This 72-nucleotide antisense RNA is filed under the name Streptomyces sp. NRRL B-3648. RNAcentral describes it as "ASpks TB sRNA". It matches the Rfam family "ASpks TB sRNA". Lineage: Bacteria; Bacillati; Actinomycetota; Actinomycetes; Kitasatosporales; Streptomycetaceae. The record is from Rfam by way of RNAcentral.
CUUGACCGACCCCAGGUAGAGGGGUUCGCCCCGGCGGUCCUGGCCGUAGGUGGCCAGCAGUGCCUGUGCCUC